This 800-nucleotide long non-coding RNA is filed under the name Capra hircus (goat). Its description in RNAcentral is "lncRNA (ENSCHIG00000005721.1)". Lineage: Eukaryota; Metazoa; Chordata; Mammalia; Artiodactyla; Bovidae. The record is from RNAcentral.
CACACACUUUGUUCAGCCAAGAUGGAUGCCAGCGAGAAGGAUUCUGGGAGGUGGUGGGACAGGUGGUGUCUCCUUUUGAGCUUGCCUGAAUUCUUCCGUUUGGUGGUGGCUUAUUAGUUCUGUGUUCCUUACCAGGACCUCGUGUCAUAAAACAACUGAUGUAAAUGGUUACUAUGGUGCCUGGCUAGGGUGGGCUGUUUCAUUCAGUGUGCUGCCCCUAAUAGUACCACAAAUUUUGGCAGCUUAAAAUAACCACAUAAUAUAAAGAAAGGCAUUAUUAGCUCUCAAUAAUAUGUGGGAACACAUUGAUAUAAAAUAUUCUGCUAACUGAGCUCACAUCUACAAACCUAAGGGGCUGUACCGCUGUUGGGACUGGAGUUCUCGGUCGUGCCCGGAAUCCCUCCUCAGUGAGAGCUUCUUUCAUCUUUCCUCGCAUCUGCAGUUCUCACCUCCCACCUUUGCAGGCACUGUGUAAUUAUCAUGUCCGUGGACCACUUUUCACUUCUCCAUCAGCUUUGACAAGAAGAUGGACCCUCUCGCUACAGACUACAUGUCAUUGUUCAUGAAGCACUUGCCCAAUAGGAACUUAAAUAUUAAUUGUGAAAAAGCUGCAUGGGCUUCUUUCAAAAGAUCCAUACCUCUCAAAUGGCGUUAUACAGCAAAGAUUUAUCAAAACAUAAUGAAUCACUGGCAAUGAUAAUUUUGAGACAAAGAUUACAAAUAAUCCAAUUGGGUGUGCCCAAAAGCCAAUUACAAGCAUAAUCAUGGUAAUAAAAAUAGCAAUAAAGAUAAAAUUGGAG